CUCAGAUAGAUACCACCUUCAGAAUGCCAAAUCUCACCUGAUCUCAGAAGCUAAGUAGGUCGGGCCCGGUUAGCACUUGGAUGGAAGACCGUUAAAAAGAGCAAGUGCCGUACUGAGA
RNAcentral lists this ribosomal RNA (118 nucleotides) under Periophthalmus magnuspinnatus. Lineage: Eukaryota; Metazoa; Chordata; Actinopteri; Gobiiformes; Gobiidae. The record is from RNAcentral.